CAGCUUCUUGUGAGUUGUAUUUUUGUUUAGAGCUAUACUCAGUUACAUAUCUUCCAAAGGAGAAAAUAAGCACACACACACAGGUGUCGGAGCACAUCUACCAAACACAGCGUACGACAGGGCCGUCGUCAACAUGAACAUCCUUGCCAAGUGUGUGGUGGGUCAGAAAUGAUUUCACAUUAUGGGGAAGAGGAAUAAUGGGUGGACCGGAGAAAAAACCCCAAACAGAUAUAUUAGAACAGGUAUCCAAUACAAAGAACGGCCCUAGACGAAAUCUGAACCCAGAAUCUGUUGGUUCUCACUGCAGUGAAAACCGAGUGUUUUCACCAUCUGGCGCCACUUCGAGCGAGCAAGGACGUUAAAUCAAAAUUUGUUUUUUCAUAAUCUCUGAAGCGAGCGAGUUCUUUAUCUUCACCUUACCUCCAACCCCACCACACUACAAAGGGCCAGCAGUGUUGUCUCUUGCCUCCCUCCUUCCUUUGGUUUCCAGGCAAAUGCACUGUACUCUGACAGGAGACAACAUGACCUGGGGCAACGCCGGUAAAGAUGCUAGUAUCUCACAAUGUGUUGAUAUACAAACACACAUUACUGGUACAGUUGAUGGUGCGCGAGUCAUGUUUUCUUGAAUCAUGUUUUUUUUUCUAGAGUAAAUCGAGUCGAGGCAGUCACACCUGUCGAGACUGUGCUCGCAAUAACACAUCGCUCUCUCUCUCUCACACACACACAGACAGGCGUACCGAGGUUUUGGGCUCGCGAGCCAUGCAAAGUGCGCCCCGGUUACUAUUAAAAUAACUUCAUUUUAUAGGAGAAAAAAAAUGGGGAAUUUUACAAGACUAAGCCACUUGUCAAUUUUAAAAACUGUUUGAAAUAAAUGAAGAGGUUGUUGGGAAAACUCAAGAAGAAAAUUGUUUUAAUGGGCAUCAUAUUUACACCAAACAAGUAAAAAAAAAAAGGAAAAAAUUUUGGGGUGGAUGCUCAUACCUGCCUUGCCUCCACCCUUUCAGUACGCCGCUGACCGGUACUUGUAAGCAGAUGCAAAACAAGAAACUGCUACUGCUAGUGCCCCUGUAGCUGCCGCGAAUUGAUGAAGUGGUGAGGGCAGAGCUCUAGCAACUGAACGACCGGUUUGCAGUAGCUGGUUUAGACUUCAUAUUAAAAGUUCCUGGACCAAAGGGUUGCCAAUGCACACUUAUAGGGUUUUGGGAGUGUUGAGGCCGACAGCCGGCAUGGUAUGCAUGUACGCCCAACUGAACAAAAGGGAGAGAUGGGGGUGCCAAGCAUCAAUGGUUCUUGCAAAAGGACGCGCCGAGUACCUGCAUGGCCGGGUCUUACCACCUGGGAUCGACCAUUUUAUUAUCAUUGCCUAAAGCAAGCGCUCUGAACUGGCAGACUACAGCUUCAAUUAGAGUGACAUGGAAGAUGUCACGUAUGCACACACACACGAGGACAGGUACAGGCUUGGCGGUGGGGGGCAAUUACUGACCGAGUGACAACCCCGUGACCGAAGGAGAACGGGAGGGGGUCGACUAGCGACAUGAUGUAUGUGCGGGGGUGUGUUUGGAGAAAAGUGGGACGUGAAGGUCGGGUGACAAAGUUUGGUCAGAAAGUGAGGAGACAGCGCAGAUGUGGGAGCACGUUUCAUCGAGAGCGCGAGUGUGUGGUGUACAGGUUUUCGCCUUACUGGCGAUGGAGUAAAACGAUUCAGAACCCACGAAAGUGUUGUGUUUGGUUCUUGCUAAGAGAUUGGAGAGCAACUGCAUCUACCCUGCUACAGAAGAACAAAAAGUAGCAACGCACAAGACGAAAUAACAGCAAAAUGCAAGAUGGGGAAGAGGGGGUUGGGAAUUACAGGAGUUGCAGAGGCCCGGCGUUUGGUGUUUACAGGCAUGGGAGCAUAUGUCUGCUGUUUCGUGGCCAAGCAUUGACCCUUUACGGGCUAAUUUACGAGAAACUGAGGCUUAUGUGAAAGAAGGCAGCGCAAAGAUGUUGAAUUAGUGUCAUAGGUCAAACGUAAGUGCUGGUCCGAAAAAUAAUGAACAUUUUGUUCUGAUGACGUACAGCCUCUCAAUACCUUUGUUUGCUGAAUGCUCCGACGUCAUAAUUAUGACGUAACACGAGUGAUUUAAAAUAUCAGAACAAGAAAGCUCUAAGGAUUAUUCAGUGGUCAGCGAGAGAGAGAGAAACGGAUGGAUCGUUCUCAGAAACUUUGUCAGGUUUGUUGGUUUUUUUUUUUUUUUUUUUUUUUAAUAUAUCCGUGCUUGUUAUUGGUAUAGCGGGGUAGAAAUUCUAUACGUUUAGUAUCUCUUUUUGAAUAGUUUCGUUUUCAUUCAAGGAUUUUGGAUGUUAGCUGUGUUAACCGUGAGAUUGCUGUCUAUUCUGCGUCUGUUGCUCCUUUUCUUUCAUCUCUCCUUUCCUUCGAUCUGUCAAUCCUCUUCUCAGUUUAAUCGUGGCGUACUCCCCGGUAUAUCCGAACAGCUGGUCAUAUGCUACACAGUUCGAUCUGUGCCGGGAAAACCGUAUUGCUCUUCUCGGAGUGUUUGACGUUUUUCUUGCAAUCUAAAUAAACCAGAGCAGAAAACGUCCCAGGUGUACAACCUUUCCCGUGUUGUCAGAUGAAAUACACAGCAGUGUCGCUAGGCAAGCACUGCUCGCAGGACUGCCCGACAUAUCAGCUUCGACAGAAACGCCAACCUCUAGUCACCCGGUCUGUUUGUUGACUAUUAAAAGGCACGGGUCGUAUCGAGUUUAUGACGUCACCCUGGGUACAGGGCAGCGUGUUCUUUUGUCAGCUAUAUCACUCUCCUCGUGUUUCCUUUCUAAGGGAUGUGCUUUUUUUUUUUUUUCAUUGGCGUAGAUGAUCUUCCCACAAUUCAUUGCAAUGUUGUUACAAUGCUUAUGUUUUAUGGAAUGAGUCGACUUGGAGGAAGACAACCUUUUCUUCUGUUUGCCACCUUUAAUUUUGCUUCUUUUGUCACAUAACGUUCAUCGAAGUCUGUUUACUUCUUGGCGCCGACACCUUGCAGGGCGGGUAGGGGUGGGGAGGCCACUCAUGUGACGGCGGCCUUUUCCACCUGUGUUUACACAACCAUGAGGACAGCCGUACCUACCUGUUAUCGUGUCCCAUGGCGUUUAGAGCAAGCAAAUUAUCAACGUUUUCGCAGUGACAGUCGCUAGGUCGUAGCCUUAGGUAUUGCUAAGUUUCAUGCGUUGUAUGUCGCCAUUUAAUUGGAGCAGGGCAAUGUCAGAAUAGAAGAAUAAUGAACGCAUGUGCGCGACAACCAUAUCUAUCAGACUGCCUGGCGUUCCCCUGAAGGAGAAAUGCAGUUGGAAUAUUUCAGUGAAUGGCGAGGUUGAGGAGGUCGAAAACAGGAAUAGCUGCUUGCAUCUGGAUGGGUGUCCAUAAGCACUGUUGGAAGUUGUCUUCCCUGUAGCAGGUUUUUGGUGACAUUUCCUGAUGAAUCUUUGUCUGAAGCACUCCCAAAAAAUGAUGGGAUUUAGCUUUCUUCAUGGACGUCGGCGCAAAGGAGCCAUAUCUCUUAUAUUUCUAGUCAUCUUUAUAGUAGUACUUUACUCUUUACAGAAAAAAGACCCUGCAAUGUUAGAAAUCUUAGGUGACUCUUAUUGGUUGGACUUGCUACAUUCCAGUUACUUCAUUCCCAGAAAUAGAAUAAUUAUGCCACUACAUAUUUCAUAUAUAAUUGAACCAGAAAGACACUGUAGCAGUGAAGGCUACAUUGCUGUUCUUAUUCCAAGUCACCCACAGGAUGGCUUAAGAAGAGCAGCGAUUCGGAAGACUUGGGGCUAUGCUUUGAGACAGGAAGAGUGGCCACAUGCCUUACUUAGGGCACAUGCUGACAUUUUCUUUUUACUAGGGAGAGCAUCCACCCAGCUGGAAUAUCAGUCUGUUGAGCAGGAAGCACACACACAUGAUGAUAUAAUUAUAGGUGACUUUGUUGAUACAUACAGAAACCUCUCAAUAAAAAUGUUAUUUGGGUUGAAUUGGAUUGCCAAGAACUGCGCGGAAACAAAGUUUCUUGUCAAAAUGGAUUCAGACACAUUUGUUGACUUUCCACAGCUGAUGGACCUUCUCCUGAAUAAUGA
Long non-coding RNA from Pomacea canaliculata, 4101 nucleotides. RefSeq lists it as uncharacterized. The transcript is spliced from 3 exons. The record is from RefSeq and is a predicted model, not a curated record. NCBI's taxonomy places the organism in Eukaryota, Metazoa, Mollusca, Gastropoda, Architaenioglossa, Ampullariidae.